GAAAAACUGAGCAUCUGGCUAAAAGAUGGA
RNAcentral lists this non-coding RNA (30 nucleotides) under Mus musculus (house mouse). Lineage: Eukaryota; Metazoa; Chordata; Mammalia; Rodentia; Muridae. The record is from RNAcentral.